GGGGUCAUCGUCCAACAGGAAGAUGCCGCCAUCGCAAGGCGGAGAUCCGGGUGCGACUCCCGGUGACUCCA
Non-coding RNA from Archangium gephyra, 71 nucleotides. NCBI's taxonomy places the organism in Bacteria, Pseudomonadati, Myxococcota, Myxococcia, Myxococcales, Archangiaceae. The record is from Rfam.